CCUACGUGAGGCAGCAGUGGGGAAUAUUACACAAUGGGGGAAACCCUGAUGCAGCGACGCCGCGUGAGUGAAGAAGUAUUUCGGUAUUUAAAGCUCUAUCAGCAGGGAAGAAAAUGACGGUACCUGAUUAAGAAGCCCCGGCUAACUACGUGCCAGCAGCCGCGGUAAUACGUAGGGGGCAAGCGUUAUCCGGAUUUACUGGGUGUAAAGGGAGCGUAGACGGCAGCACAAGUCUGGAGUGAAAUGCCGGGGCUUAACCCCGGAACUGCUUUGGAAACUGUGCAGCUAGAGUGCAGGAGAGGUAAGUGGAAUUCCUAGUGUAGCGGUGAAAUGCGUAGAUAUUAGGAGGAACACCAGUGGCGAAGGCGACUUACUGGACUGUAACUGACGUUGAGGCUCGAAAGCGUGGGGAGCAAACAGGAUUAGAUACCCCAGUAGUC
This 440-nucleotide ribosomal RNA is filed under the name uncultured bacterium. RNAcentral describes it as "partial 16S ribosomal RNA". It matches the Rfam family "Bacterial small subunit ribosomal RNA", at positions 338 to 795 of the family's 1533-position model. The record is from RNAcentral.